AAGUACGUUGCCGAGUUGGACACGAUUACACCUGAGCAGGUGGAAUGGCAGCCAUAUGGCGCCGAUGACAGACUUGGGUACACCCCGGAGUUUACCAUCAACCCAAUGUGCUUGCGGUAUAGGGAUCUCUGGCGUAUGCGGUGCCCACUGAUAUGCAACUGGGCUGUUGAGUUUCAUUUGCCACAUCGCGUGUGUCGUCAGUUUGGUCUGUUCCAGCCUCACCCGCCGGAAUGGGUGGAUACGGACAAAGCACUUUAUAGGUUGGACAGGAGAAGGCAACGAAAGAUAAAGGACUGGGAAAAGCAUCAUGCUUCGUAUGUUACCCGCUUCCAGCUUUGUGUGGAGGAAGCUCAUAGCAGUGCACGCGCCAAGCUUCGUGAGCAUAGUCCACUUGCUUUGAUAAAUACAUAUGAUGGCUUCUUGAAAAUACUCGAUUUGAGAUAUGCUCGUCGGCAUAUAAUG
RNAcentral lists this ribosomal RNA (462 nucleotides) under Triticum aestivum (bread wheat). RNAcentral describes it as "partial small subunit ribosomal RNA". Lineage: Eukaryota; Viridiplantae; Streptophyta; Magnoliopsida; Poales; Poaceae. The record is from RNAcentral.